GAUGAACGCUAGCUACAGGCUUAACACAUGCAAGUCGAGGGGCAGCGCAGUGUAGCAAUACAUGGGCGGCGACCGGCGCACGGGUGCGUAACGCGUAUCCAACCUUCCCGUUACUCAGGGAUAGCCUUCCGAAAGGGAGAUUAAUACCUGAUGGUGUUCAAAUUCCGCAUGUUAUUUGAACUAAAGAUUCAUCGGUAACGGAUGGGGAUGCGUGACAUUAGAUAGUAGGCGGGGUAACGGCCCACCUAGUCUACGAUGUCUAGGGGUUCUGAGAGGAAGGUCCCCCACACUGGAACUGAGACACGGUCCAGACUCCUACGGGAGGCAGCAGUGAGGAAUAUUGGUCAAUGGUCGGAAGACUGAACCAGCCAAGUAGCGUGAAGGAUGAAGGUUCUAUGGAUUGUAAACUUCUUUUAUACGGGAAUAAAACCUCCCACGUGUGGGAGCUUGUAUGUACCGUAUGAAUAAGCAUCGGCUAACUCCGUG
RNAcentral lists this ribosomal RNA (486 nucleotides) under uncultured bacterium. Its description in RNAcentral is "bacterial SSU rRNA". It matches the Rfam family "Bacterial small subunit ribosomal RNA", at positions 28 to 507 of the family's 1533-position model. The record is from RNAcentral.